GACGAACGCUGGCGGCGUGCUUAACACAUGCAAGUCGAACGGAAAGGCCCUGCUUUUGUGGGGUGCUCGAGUGGCGAACGGGUGAGUAACACGUGAGUAACCUGCCCUUGACUUUGGGAUAACUUCAGGAAACUGGGGCAAAUACCGGAUAGGAGCUCCUGCUGCAUGGUGGGGGUUGGAAAGUUUCGGCGGUUUGGGAUGGACUCGCGGCUUAUGAGCUUGUUGGUGGGGUAGUGGCUUACCAAGGCUUUGACGGGUAGCCGGCCUGAGAGGGUGACCGGCCACAUUGGGACUGAGGUACGGCCCAGACUCCUACGGGAGGCAGCAGUGGGGAAUAUUGCACAAUGGGCGGAAGCCUGAUGCAGCAACGCCGCGUUCGGGAUGACGGCCUUCGGGUUGUAAACCGCUUUCGCCUGUGACGAAGCGUGAGUGACGGUAAUGGGUAAAGAAGCACCGGCUAACUACGUG
This 468-nucleotide ribosomal RNA is filed under the name uncultured bacterium. RNAcentral describes it as "partial 16S ribosomal RNA". It matches the Rfam family "Bacterial small subunit ribosomal RNA", at positions 28 to 507 of the family's 1533-position model. The record is from RNAcentral.